Molecule: ribosomal RNA, 253 nt
Filed under: uncultured bacterium
Lineage: Bacteria
Description: partial 16S ribosomal RNA
Rfam family: Bacterial small subunit ribosomal RNA
Source: RNAcentral
UACGUAUGGUGCAAGCGUUAUCCGGAUUUACUGGGUGUAAAGGGAGCGCAGGCGGCACGGCAAGCCUGAUGUGAAAGCCCGCGGCCCAACCGCGGGACUGCAUUGGGAACUACCGGGCUGGAGUGCCGGAGAGGUAGGCGGAAUUCCUAGUGUAGCGGUGAAAUGCAUAGAUAUCACGCAGAACUCCGAUUGCGAAGGCAGCAUACCGGCGCCCUACUGACGCUGAGGCACGAAAGCGUGGGUAUCGAACAGG